RNAcentral lists this unclassified non-coding RNA (326 nucleotides) under soil metagenome. Its description in RNAcentral is "partial contains 5.8S ribosomal RNA, internal transcribed spacer 2, and large subunit ribosomal RNA". The stretch from base 1 to 120 matches the Rfam family "5.8S ribosomal RNA", at positions 35 to 154 of the family's 154-position model. The record is from RNAcentral.
GAUGAAGAACGUAGCGAAAUGCGAUAAGUAAUGUGAAUUGCAGAAUUCAGUGAAUCAUCGAAUCUUUGAACACACAUUGCGCCCCUUGGUAUUCCGAGGGGCAUGCCUGUUCGAGCGUCAUAUUAACCACUCCCGCUUGCGGGGUCUUGGGCUUCGCCUCCGGGCGGGCCUUAAAAUCAGUGGCGGUGCCGUCGGGCUCUACGCGUAGUAAAUUUUCUCGCGAUAGGGUCCCGGUGGAUGCUUGCCAACAACCCCCAACUUCUUAAGGUUGACCUCGGAUCAGGUAGGGAUACCCGCUGAACUUAAGCAUAUCAAUAAGCGGAGGA